Molecule: long non-coding RNA, 2023 nt
Filed under: Glycine max (soybean)
Lineage: Eukaryota; Viridiplantae; Streptophyta; Magnoliopsida; Fabales; Fabaceae
Description: long non-coding RNA (GMAX_LNC001387)
Source: RNAcentral
AAACACAGUUUUUCUUUGGGGUUUGAAAUUUCAUGGGUAAAUUGACACCUUGGAAUAUUUGAUUUCAUUUGGGGAGGCUAAAUUGACACCUUGAGUUAGUUAGGUAUUAUUUGAUUUGGCCUACCAGUGUUUAUUUUGCUCCUCUAAUGCACAAAAUACUCCCUCAAAAUUAAUGUGGUGUGUUAGGAAGAAGAUGCAAUCCCGCAGUGGGGGCGCCAUUGGAAGAAGAUGCAGUUAGUUAGUUACAAUCAUAUUAGAGUUGUUAUAAAGGUAGUGUAUAUACAGGAUAUUGAAUGCAUGAAUAAACGGAGAGAAAGAUUUGAGUAAAAGCUUAGUUUAGUUCAGGAGGGACCUUGACCUCGAACCAAGGCAAUUUAUCUUCUUCCUCUCGCUCAUAACAAUUGGUCCGACAUGCCAUCCAUGUCUGCCUCUACCUGCCAGAACCACUACCUUCCACCUUACCCACUCACUACAGCCACCUACCGCCCAUGGCUGCCUCUACCCCUACUCCGGCCAUACCAUAACACACCACCCGCAACCACCCCUGCAGGAGCCAUCCCUUCUGCCCCAGCACCCACCUUCUCCUUAUACACAUCCAGCUCAAUCCCUUGGGAUUGAUUUUGAGAGUACUCGGAUCCGCUUGCUAGCCUUGUGCGGUACCUGGAUCCCAUGGUUUCCUUCUUUGGUGCAGCCACCACCGCCGCCGCUGCCGCCGCCUUCCAUGGAUCCUACAACGCCAACGGCAAUGCUGGAACAUCAAAACACAGGAACUUCCUCCUCCGCCAACCACCACUAACAACAACACCCACGUCAGCUCCGUCCUCCUCCGCACAACCACCACCAACAACAGCACCCACGUCAACUCCACCUCCCUUGGCUGUUUCCCACCAUCCCAAACUCAAAACAGUCGCACCCAUGGCUCCCUCGCUUCCCCGCUUUCAUACGACCAACCGUCACUUCCAACUCAGUCGUCUGUUGCCCCUUUCACUCCGCACUGCCCACUGUCGUUACCGCCACGACCAUUGCCACAAAAUCCCUUAUGGCAAUGACACCAUCUUGCUCGACGACGAUGCCGUCAAGCAUCAGAUUCAUCUGUGCUUGGUUUGGAUUCUUUUCGCCGUCAAGACUUGGCUUUUUUCUGUCUGUCAUCAGCGACGACGUCCGCCGCCACACCCGCCACCACAUCCACCACCACCACCACCGAAGCCACCGCCUCAACCACAACCAUGGCUGGCACAGACUGAGCUUCUGUUUUACUCAUGUUCUGUUUUCUGCGCCCAACACCUUGAGGACAAGGUGUUUUUGAUGGGCUAGGGAAUGUUAGGAGGAAGAUGCAACAGGUAGAAGAUCAAGCAGCAGUGGGGCGCCAUUGGAAGAAGAUGCAGCAGGUAGAAGAUCCAGCAGUGGGGUGGCAUUGGAAGAAGAUGCUUGCACUACCAUAAAUUGCCAUAGAAUCAGUUAGUUAGUUAGUUACAACCAUAUUAGGGUUGUUAGAAGCUGUUGUAAAGUUAGUUACUGAUUUGUUAAAAGCUAUUAUAAAGGUAGUGUAUAUACAGGAUAAUGCAUGAAUAAAAGGAGAGAAACAUUUCGAGUAAAAGCUUAGUUUAGUUCAGGAGGGACCUUGACCUCGAACCAAGGCAAUUUAUCUUCUUCCUCUCGCUCAUAACAUGCUGUUAUCGGUUUAGGUGGGUAGGAAGUAGGAUGAUAUUACAUUAAGCUGUAUUUCACUUUGAGAUGUUUGUUCAUGAGUGUGAUGAGCGAAUUAGUUAGAAGUUCAUAACUCCAUGAGGGUGUGCAGUGGUUUCUUGGGGAGGAUUGGUUUAAUGAUCUUCAUGUUCUGCAGUACAAUAUCUGUUUCCGAGGAUGAGAGUGGGGAGCCAGUGAGAUCGUAAGUUAAAAAGCAUUGGAUCUGGCCAUGAUUAACCAAAUAAAUAAAAAUAAAAAAUAAGAAAUCACAUGAUUAGAAUGGAAAGCUUUGACUUUAUGUCUGAGGAUGGUUCUUUUUAUGAAAGGCCAAAGAAAG